GCCGACGUGGUGGAAUUGGUAGACACGCUAUCUUGAGGGGGUAGUGGGGGUAACCCCGUGCCAGUUCAAAUCUGGCCGUCGGCACCA
RNAcentral lists this transfer RNA (87 nucleotides) under Pseudomonadota bacterium. RNAcentral describes it as "Proteobacteria bacterium (hot springs metagenome) tRNA-Leu". It matches the Rfam family "tRNA". From Rfam's summary of the family: Transfer RNA (tRNA) molecules are approximately 80 nucleotides in length. Their secondary structure includes four short double-helical elements and three loops (D, anti-codon, and T loops). Lineage: Bacteria; Pseudomonadati; Pseudomonadota. The record is from RNAcentral.